AGUCGAGUAGCUCAGUUGGUUAGAGCACUGUUCCCGGAAAGUGGCAGGGACCUGGGUUCAAUUCCCAGCUUGAUCA
The sequence is a transfer RNA, 76 nucleotides long. It matches the Rfam family "tRNA". From Rfam's summary of the family: Transfer RNA (tRNA) molecules are approximately 80 nucleotides in length. Their secondary structure includes four short double-helical elements and three loops (D, anti-codon, and T loops). The record is from Rfam.